Molecule: ribosomal RNA, 403 nt
Filed under: uncultured bacterium
Lineage: Bacteria
Description: bacterial SSU rRNA
Rfam family: Bacterial small subunit ribosomal RNA
Source: RNAcentral
UGAGGAAUAUUGCGCAAUGGGCGAAAGCCUGACGCAGCGACGCCGCGUGAGUGAUGAAGCCUUUCGGGGUGUAAAACUCUGUCAAAGGGAAUGAUAAUGACAGUACCCUUAAAGGAAGCCACGGCUAAUUACGUGCCAGCAGCCGCGGUAAUACGUAAGUGGCGAGCAUUAUCCGGAUUUAUUGGGCAUAAAGGGCAUGCAGGCGGUUAUUUAAGUUAGUUAUUAAAUCUCACAGCUCAACUGUGAUUUGUACCUAAUACUGAGUAACUAGAGAUGAGAAGAGGGAAGUGGAACUCACGGUGUAGCGGUGAAAUGCGUAGAUAUCGUGAGGAACACCAGUGGCGAAGGCGGCUUCCUGGUCUCAAUCUGACGCUGAGAUGCGAAAGCGUGGGGAGCAAACGGG